GGGACUACUGGGGUUUCUAAUCCUGUUCGCUCCCCAUGCUUUCGCUUCUCAGUGUCAGUAAUGGCCCAGAGACCUGCCUUCGCCAUCGGUGUUCCUCCUGAUAUCUGCGCAUUCCACCGCUACACCAGGAAUUCCAGUCUCCCCUACCACACUCUAGUCUGCCCGUACCCACUGCAAGUCCGAGGUUGAGCCUCGGAUUUUCACAGCAGACGCGACAAACCGCCUACGAGCCCUUUACGCCCAAUAAUUCCGGACAACGCUCGCACCCUACGUAUUACCGCGGCGGCUGACAC
This 293-nucleotide unclassified non-coding RNA is filed under the name uncultured Intrasporangiaceae bacterium. RNAcentral describes it as "contains 16S-23S intergenic spacer region". Lineage: Bacteria; Bacillati; Actinomycetota; Actinomycetes; Micrococcales; Intrasporangiaceae. The record is from RNAcentral.